GCUUAGGUAACUUAAUUAGUAAAGUAAAAUAUUAAAGCUAUUUUUAUUAUAAGUUUAAGUCUUACCCUAAGCA
RNAcentral lists this transfer RNA (73 nucleotides) under Scedosporium apiospermum. Lineage: Eukaryota; Fungi; Ascomycota; Sordariomycetes; Microascales; Microascaceae. The record is from Rfam by way of RNAcentral.